CUCGCGGUCGAGGACGGUGCGCUCCCGGCCGAUGUCGGCGGCCCGCCGCUCGGCCCGCCGGGCGGCACCGAGCGAUCCCAGAUCCUCCCGCAACUCC
Molecule: transfer RNA, 97 nt
Filed under: Streptomyces glebosus
Lineage: Bacteria; Bacillati; Actinomycetota; Actinomycetes; Kitasatosporales; Streptomycetaceae
Description: tRNA-Asp
Source: RNAcentral